RNAcentral lists this ribosomal RNA (924 nucleotides) under uncultured bacterium. Its description in RNAcentral is "bacterial SSU rRNA". It matches the Rfam family "Bacterial small subunit ribosomal RNA", at positions 9 to 873 of the family's 1533-position model. The record is from RNAcentral.
AGAGUUCGUCAUGCUCAGAAUGACGCUGGCGCGUGCUAAUACAUGCAAGUCGAGCGAAUGGAUUAAGAGCUGCUCUAUGAAGUUAGCGGCGGACGGGUGAGUAACACGUGGGUAACCUGCCCAUAAGACUGGGAUAACUCCGGGAAACCGGGGCUAAUACCGGAUAACAUUUUGAACCGCAUGGUUCGAAAUUGAAAGGCGGCUUCGGCUGUCACUUAUGGAUGGACCCGCGUCGCAUUAGCUAGUUGGUGAGGUAACGGCUCACCAAGGCAACGAUGCGUAGCCGACCUGAGAGGGUGAUCGGCCACACUGGGACUGAGACACGGCCCAGACUCCUACGGGAGGCAGCAGUAGGGAAUCUUCCGCAAUGGACGAAAGUCUGACGGAGCAACGCCGCGUGAGUGAUGAAGGCUUUCGGGUCGUAAAACUCUGUUGUUAGGGAAGAACAAGUGCUAGUUGAAUAAGCUGGCACCUUGACGGUACCUAACCAGAAAGCCACGGCUAACUACGUGCCAGCAGCCGCGGUAAUACGUAGGUGGCAAGCGUUAUCCGGAAUUAUUGGGCGUAAAGCGCGCGCAGGUGGUUUCUUAAGUCUGAUGUGAAAGCCCACGGCUCAACCGUGGAGGGUCAUUGGAAACUGGGAGACUUGAGUGCAGAAGAGGAAAGUGGAAUUCCAUGUGUAGCGGUGAAAUGCGUAGAGAUAUGGAGGAACACCAGUGGCGAAGGCGACUUUCUGGUCUGUAACUGACACUGAGGCGCGAAAGCGUGGGGAGCAAACAGGAUUAGAUACCCUUGUAGUCACGCAGUAAACGAUCAUUGCUACGUGGUAGUAGUGCUUCACUCUUUAAGGCAUGACAGUGAACGCAAUUAAGUACUCGUCUUGCUUAGUACGACACAAGCUGAAGUUCAAAGAGACUUCGACGG